Molecule: long non-coding RNA, 504 nt
Filed under: Felis catus (domestic cat)
Lineage: Eukaryota; Metazoa; Chordata; Mammalia; Carnivora; Felidae
Description: lncRNA (ENSFCAG00000050678.1)
Source: RNAcentral
GCACAGCCCCACCUUGGUGUGGGAGAGGUCACCCAUGCAGAGUGCCACCCAUCAAUGAGGGAAUAGUGAUGCCACUAUUAAAUGUGAUGUUUCAUGAAUGGUUCUUUUCACUUUCACAGCUGAACUAGCAGACAACCCUUAAGCUGAAGAAGCACCCAUCACUUAAGCUGAAGAAACAUGCAUCUCUUAAGUCCUGUACCAGUGGUAAUUUGUACCAUGAGUGGCCACAGGAAACCGGUUGGAACUGGAACUCGGACUGGACUGCUCUUCCAGUAGAAGUCAUACAAGUAGCUUCCUUGAUGGCAGAAGUGGAUACUGGACAUUGGUGGCUUGCAUCUUCCCUCUACCUCUAUACUCCAAGUUCCUGGCUGGCACUGGAAUUACAUCCUUAGCAUGGGCAUCACAACAUCUAGGUGAGAUUCAGGCUUGUUUCCAGUAAGAAACCCUGACAGAAAUUCAGAAGAACGGGAGCUGCGUUCCAUUAGGACUUGAAUACACGAAACG